This is a long non-coding RNA of Ctenopharyngodon idella (grass carp), 2770 nucleotides long. RefSeq lists it as uncharacterized. The transcript is spliced from 3 exons. NCBI's taxonomy places the organism in Eukaryota, Metazoa, Chordata, Actinopteri, Cypriniformes, Xenocyprididae. The record is from RefSeq and is a predicted model, not a curated record.
UUCCUCAAAUUUAGCUAUGAAAUAAUAGACCAGAAUCUUUUCAAUUUCACUAAAGUUCAAAGAUCUCUGCUCUUCACUCUGAAAUUUUGUGGAAUGACAUGAUUAGAUCAUAUUUAUAGUCAUAGUCUUUUAUAUCACUUGGAGCUUAUCGGGGUCUGAGAAAUUCACAGUUGACAGAUUUAUUUUAAGUUCAAAUAUUUGAAACCUUGAUUUGAGUCAGACUAGUUGGGAUCCUGUCAAAGAUAAGAUCCCAUCCAGUUAAAAUCAAGACAUAUGCAGAUGUGAGGAGAGAAGAAAGGAGGAGAGGUGAAGACAGUGAUGGGAAGGAGCGAUGCUGACAUACGAUAAAACUCCUGCAGGUUGAAGUGUAAUGGGAGGCCAAUGAAGCCUUGAUAGCUUCAAUUUUAUGGUUAAGAGGAAUGUGAAAAUUUAUCCCAGUGGCCGACAGAUCGGAGCAAACAGCUGUCUCCCCAUCUCUGAUUCCAAUCGUCCAUGGAAAAAAAAUGGGGGGAAUACUGACUUGCUGAGACCACCGUUGCGCUGAAAGGUAGAUAACGUUUGGGGAAAAAUAAUAGCUUUCACGGCAGUGAAUUUCACACAUUAGCUCCGCAAUGGAGGAUUAUCAUCAGGAGCACGAGUCAAAGAAUUUGCACCUCUUGUCACAGAAGAACCUGCUUUUGUCCCUUUUUCUUUUGUGUUUGUCUUUCCCUCCUAAUCUGUCAGACAAUAAGAUAAAGUACAAAACUUUUAUGUUCCAUCAGGGCACCCUGCAACGCGUCUCUGAUGAGCAGACGGCGACCCAUCCUGAUUAAAGUACAGACUCUGGAGACAUGGGCCUGGCUGGAGCACCUCACUAUCUCCCUUGCCAUCUUCUAAUAAAGUCAGUCAUGCAGGGGGCAUCAGUCUGAGCGUGCUUGGCAAAGGGUCAAGGCUUGGCUUUAUAGCAUGGCCCUGUCUGCUGGGUAACUACAGUACAUGGUUUGCAGAACCAUGCAAAUGCCAUGUGACUACUCAUUCUGGAGUCAUAGGAAAAUCAUGUCUUCACAGUGCUGACUGGCUGAAGAUCGGUGAUGGUAUAGUUAUGACAUCAGCUAGUGGGGAGUAAUGGGAUCACGUUAACCAGCCAAGACUUGACUCCUUGAUUUAACCUUCUUCAUAACCUCAGUUUCCCUUUGGUCUAACUUUUAACUCACCUGCCUAUACCCACAAAUCCAUUUCACUCAAGUAGGCUACACCCUGCAGACACAAAGCUUUCAUUUCCACCCUCUGUUUUGAAGCAGCCUUCUCAUCCUCUCACAAAUUGAGUUAUUGAGUUCACACUUCCUCCUCCUGCGCUCCAGCCUUCAGUCCGCCAUCCUGCUGGGAGUCACCGUGGCUGCUCAAAUCCAGUUCUCGUCUCUGCUCCCGUGGACAGCAAGAGAUUAUGAGCGGCAGUGUAUCAGCUGAGCGCCGCUGCUUUCGCCUGCGCCCGUGCCACAGCACAGAAUGAAUAAUUUAAAGUGCCAGCUCGGGCAUGCGACGCCGCCUUUUCUGGACUAUUAGCUACACAAGCAGCAUUAGCCUCAUCGCUGAAAUGUGCCGCUGUAUCUCUCUCUCUUUCCUCUCACUCGACACAUGUUACAUCCCAUACAGACAAGGCCAAUCACAAACUUUCAAGGAGGAAAAGUUUGAGUCAGACUGGAUAGCAGACGAAGUUGUUUUGUGAUGAAUUACAUUUGUUAUUGAUCAGAGUACAAUGAUAGCACAAGCCAGAUUGGACCACUAGGUGCAAAACAGUGUUAUUUUAGUAUCAUUGAUAUAUAGUUUUUCAUAUUUUGAAGGUUUUUAUUUUUAUAUUAAAAAGUUUACCCAAAAAUGAAAAUUGUUAUCAUUCACUCACCCUCAUUUGGUGUCAAACCUGUAUAACUUUGUUUUGUGAAACAGAAAUUUUGAAAAACGAUUUUUCUCCAUCCAAAUCAACAUCGGACUCAUUGUUUGGACAUUUUUCAAAAUAUUUUCUUUUGUGUUUCUUAAGUCAUAUGGAUUUGCAAUGGCAUGAGGGUAAGGAAAUGAAAACAGAAUUUUUAUUUUUGGGUGAACUAUGCCUUUCAAUAAAUAGAUUGUGAGGGCUUAUGAACAAUAUGCAUUUUUUUUUUUUUUGCAUUGAAAUACUACACACAAAAAUAGUGCAACUAUGUAGUGAGUUCAUCCCAGAGAGAGAAGUGAGUAGGAACGAGUGUGAAAACCGGUGAUGGAGUGGGUGUGAAGAUGACGUGAUGGCGAAGUAGAGAUGCUAGCUUUAAUGAAAGACUGUGUUCAGGCUGAGGAGUGUAAGUCUGUCCGUGCACUGACAUUCGACAUCCCCCUCUGUGACACCACCCUGUCAGAAAGAACAGACUGAAGAAGGAGAGAGCAGGAGCACAUGCCAUGUACACCCAGAAAUGGGGAAAGAGAGACAAAGGCAGAUCUGGAGAACAGGCAGUCUUACAUUUUAAGAAAUAGUUCACUCUAAAAUGAAUUUCUGUCAUCAUGUACUCACCCUCAUGUCUUUCCAAACCUGUAUGACUUUCUUUCUUCCGUAGAACACAAAAGGAGACGUUUGGCAGAGUGUUUGAGCUGCUUUCUUCCACGUGCACUACAGUUUAAAAGUUUGGGGUCAUUGAGAUGUAUUUUUUUUUUUUAAAUUGAUAAUUUUAUUCAGCAUGGAUGUGUUAAAUUGACAGAGUGACAGCAAAGAAUUUUAGAUAACAGUUUAUUUUAAAGAGAUCCCAUAAUUAAAAUAUCCCAUAAU